GCUGGAGGCCGCUUUGGCUCCUUCCAGCCAGGCUGAGCCUUUCCGGGAGGGUGAUCGCAAAGAGGCCUGGGCUGAUGGCAGGCAAGAAACCCUGUUAGUAAAGAGGCGGCGUAACCUCACUGCACAGAGCAGCGUGCCUUUGCUGCAGGACCCCCCCCCCCCACCACCUGCCGCAGACCCCGGGGGUCUCCGCAUCCCUGGGUUCUGUCUCUCUACAGCUAAGCCUCUCUCCCUUUACUGCGGAAGGCCUGGGACGCCCUUGCCAGCCAGGAUUCCUUCAGACUGCCUCUGCCCCCUGAUGCUGGCAGAUUUUUCCUUUUCCUUCGCUGCUGCAGGAUUCCCCGGACAACCCAGAGGUCAAGUUCAUGGACUCCUAUUUCCUAGGUCAAGGGCGAGGGGCCCCUGGUGUGGCUUAGGCUGGGCCACUUGGAUCUGGAUCUACCUGGGCAAGUCUGAUGGACGGUGAGGAGGAUGGGCCAGAAGCUGGGUGCAGUGGCUACCCAGGGCAUGUAAAGGGCACCGGGGUGUACCGCUCAGACCCCCUUCCAGGAAGGGCUCAGGCCCCGGCCACAAUGAGCAUGGCGGGGUGACGGGUCCUUCAGGAUAGACCUCAGCUUUCAAACCUGGCCCUACUCUGCUUAGGACUGCGGAGGCCAACAUGUGGUCCAGGGGCCCAGCGCUUCUGUCCAGCGUGGGACCCUUCUGCUAGUCGUCUGUGCUCCAGAACCCCAGCGGGCAGCUCCUGGUGUCACGGCUUCCUGGCCUUUUUGUUUCAACGGGCCCACCUUCGUCUUCCAUCCAAACGUUAGGGAAAUCUUACAGAUGGCCCCUUUCCGGUUUUGCCCUGAGUGGGUGUUCGUCCGCUCCAGGCUGGGCGAAUCCCCACGGAGCUUCAUUUUCUCCAUCUCCUCUAAUUCCCAGCUGAGGGGGGCUGGCACCAGACGCAGACUAUGUGGCUUCCCAACACACCAAAGGCAGGAGCCGGGCUUGUUGGGUAACCGGACCGGUCACGGCUGCUGGAGCUUUCCAUCGGCGCUCCCCCAGGAGCCGAGUCAGCCGGCUGCUGCCAGGAACCUCCACACCCCGUGCUUUGGGGGUCGGGAGAGGCACACGCAUGCACGCACACGCCAGCACUGUCCCCCCGGAGCGCGGGCUUGAAGCCAGCAUCAGUGGGGAGCAACCCACGGAGGACAAGAACGUAGCAAUUCCCUGGCCGCACUGCAGAGCGGGCCUGACGCCUCCCGUCCCGGGCGUGGGGCCAGGUGGGCAGGCCCUGCCACGGGGUGACGGAGGCCACACCAGGGCAUGACCGAGGCCUGCCCCGACAUGCUCUCCGACACCAGCUGGCAGCAGCCACGCUCUGCCCUUAGGAGCACUCGCACGACAGUCCAAACCAUCAGCUGCCGCGAGAGCCACAUCGCUUCUGACAGGCGGGCCGCGACAGGGCCAGCGCCGGCCAGCGGGCAGGUGCAGAGGGCUCCAUCCUGCGGCUCUUCUCCGAGGGCACGGCAUGUUUCUUCCCCGCCCAAUUAACUCCCCAGAGACCCAUCCAGAAGGACUGGAUUUGUCAUGAAAACCGACCCGACAGGAUUCGUAGAGAGCUGGCUGCCACAGAGGGGAGGCUGGGAUCCAAGGCGCUCCUUCCCAGCGGGUCAUUUGCCUGACUUCAGCAGAAAUGCACAGCAGAUAACCCAGAGCCGCACGAGCACCUGCAAUGGAAGAAUUCAGAAUCACGAGUAAUGGGUCUAAAUUGGCAGGCUUUCACGAGAGUCCCACAAAUCUCCAAGUAGACAGCUGCCAUGGGUCACGUAAAAUGUACGUAGCUUUAAUAUACAGUUUCAUUUUGCUUGAAUAUCAGCCUGGGUGCAGAGAAUCAAAGAACGGCUCGGGGUAGAGAAUUCAAUAUGAGAAUCCAGCCGGGGCUGCCAAGCCAUAUAUGUGCUAAUGUUGCAGUUUCGACACCGGACUUAAGGUCAAGAUUAAUUCAGUGAAGAAUAAUCAUUUCACAAUGUCAUAGACACCUUCUGAGUUGCAGAGCAGAAGGCAUCCAGGAGGGUAGAUGAGGCAUGGAGUGUGUUUUGCCAAAUGGCCAAAGUGGGGAAUUCUUUGGACGGACAGCCAUAUUUUUCUUUGCCUCAACUGCUCAAGUCGGCUGCUGCAGCACAAAGGCGGCCAAGGACAGUGCGUAAAUGGUGACGCUGUGUUCUAAUAGAACUUUAUUUGUGGACGCUAACAUUUGAGUUUCACAUAAUUUUCACAUGUUGUGAAAUACUCUUCUUUUAACUUUUCCCUAACAUUUAAAAAUGUAAAGGUCAUUCUCAGCUCAUCAGCAGAGCAAAAAAUAGUUGUUAUUCUGACCCCUGAAAUGAUAUAAGGAUUCCCUAAGCCAUUGUGAGCCCAUUUUCAACAAAAAAACCAACUCACGGUCGA
Molecule: long non-coding RNA, 2430 nt
Organism: Felis catus (domestic cat)
Lineage: Eukaryota; Metazoa; Chordata; Mammalia; Carnivora; Felidae
Exons: 3
Source: RefSeq, a predicted model, not a curated record